This 440-nucleotide ribosomal RNA is filed under the name uncultured bacterium. RNAcentral describes it as "partial 16S ribosomal RNA". It matches the Rfam family "Bacterial small subunit ribosomal RNA", at positions 338 to 795 of the family's 1533-position model. The record is from RNAcentral.
CCUACGGGUGGCUGCAGUAGGGAAUAUUAGUAAUGGGCGAAAGCCUGAACUAGCAACGCCGCGUGUGCGAAGAAGGCCUUCGGGUUGUAAAGCACUUUUUGAGAGGAUGAGGAAGGACGGUACUCUCAGAAUAAGUCUCGGCUAACUACGUGCCAGCAGCCGCGGUAACACGUAGGAGGCGAACGUUAUCCGGAUUUACUGGGCGUAAAGCGCGUGUAGGUGGUUUGGUAAGUAGGGCGUGAAAGCUCCUGGCUCAACUGGGAGAGGCCGUUCUAAACUGCCGAACUAGAGGAUGGUAGAGGGAGGUGGAAUUCCGGGUGUAGCGGUGGAAUGCGCAGAUAUCCGGAGGAACACCAGUGGCGAAAGCGGCCUCCUGGACCAUUCCUGACACUCAGACGCGAAAGCUAGGGUAGCAAACGGGAUUAGAUACCCGUGUAGUC